RNAcentral lists this ribosomal RNA (626 nucleotides) under Stachybotrys parvispora. RNAcentral's name for it is "eukaryotic LSU rRNA". It matches the Rfam family "Eukaryotic large subunit ribosomal RNA", at positions 1 to 654 of the family's 3401-position model. Lineage: Eukaryota; Fungi; Ascomycota; Sordariomycetes; Hypocreales; Stachybotryaceae. The record is from RNAcentral.
UGACCUCGGAUCAGGUAGGAAUACCCGCUGAACUUAAGCAUAUCAAUAAGCGGAGGAAAAGAAACCAACAGGGAUUGCCUCAGUAACGGCGAGUGAAGCGGCAACAGCUCAAAUUUGAAAUCUGGCCCUAGGCCCGAGUUGUAAUUUGCAGAGGAUGCUUUUGAUGAGGUACCUUCCGAGUCCCUUGGAACAGGGCGCCAUAGAGGGUGAGAGCCCCGUCUGGUUGGAUACCGAAUCUCUGUAAAGCUCCUUCGACGAGUCGAGUAGUUUGGGAAUGCUGCUCUAAAUGGGAGGUAUAUGUCUUCUAAAGCUAAAUACCGGCCAGAGACCGAUAGCGCACAAGUAGAGUGAUCGAAAGAUGAAAAGCACUUUGGAAAGAGAGUUAAACAGCACGUGAAAUUGUUGAAAGGGAAGCGUUUACGACCAGACUUAGGCUCGGUUGAUCAAUCAGCGUUCUCGCUGGUGCACUCUGCCGGCCUAGGCCAGCAUCAGUUCGUCUCGGGGGAUAAAGGCGUCGGGAAUGUAGCUCCCUCGGGAGUGUUAUAGCCCUUCGUGCAAUACCCUGAGGUGGACUGAGGUUCGCGCUCUGCAAGGAUGCUGGCGUAAUGGUCGUCAACGACCCGUCU